Molecule: long non-coding RNA, 22535 nt
Organism: Carya illinoinensis
Lineage: Eukaryota; Viridiplantae; Streptophyta; Magnoliopsida; Fagales; Juglandaceae
Exons: 4
Source: RefSeq, a predicted model, not a curated record
CACCGCCUUUCCUGACCGACUCCCCCCAUUGCCUAUAAAAGAUACCCACAUCUUAAUUCAGAUCCUCGUAUUUCUAACUUUAGUUUCCUUCGUUUUUGGUUUUGAGGUGUAAGAUUGCUCUUGGGGAAGAUAUUCGUUUGGGCUUUUUGGUGCGAGUCCGAUCAUCUUCCUUGUGAAAUCCUGGUUCUUUUCUCCCAAUUAUUUUGUACGUUAGCUGAAAGGGAAGGUUUUUUGUUUUUUUUUUUAUUGUUUUCGUUAUAGAUUUGUUUCUUGCGCACCCGUUCCAAAUCUAUGGAGAAGAGCGACGGUUUCAUAGCCGUUCGGAUUUAUAUUAUGCUUUUGGAUUGUCCUUUUAUUGAGGAUUGGUUUCGAGAUUCUUGAAUUUUUGAAAGGAUGUGGUCUUCUUUGCGUUAGGUUUUUUGUUGCAUCGCCGAUCAUCUUUGCUGCGAAAUCCUGGCUUUUUGUUCUGAUUGCGUUGUCCUUUGGCUGGAAGGGAAGAAUUUUCUUUCCCGUUAAAGUUCGGAUUUUCCUUCAAUGGUUAUCGUUUGUCGAUGGUAUCGGUAAUGUUUUUUGCUUCUUGCUUAUCCGUCCUAAUGCUAUGGAGAAGAGCGACGGUUUCAUAGUCGUUCGGAUUUAUAUUAUGCUGUUGGGUUGUGUUUUUAUUGACGAUUGGUUUCGAAAUUCUUGAAUUCUUGAAAGUUUGUGAACUUCUUCGUCUUAUGUUUUUUGAUGCAUCGCCGAUCAUCUCCGCUGCGAAAUCUGGAUUUUCUCUUCUAAUUUCGUUGGCCGUUGGGGGAAAGGGAAGAAUUUUCUUUACCGUUAAAGAUUCGGAUUUUCCUUCAACACUUACCAUCGUUACUGGUUUUGUUAUGAUAUCGUUUAUCGAUGGAGAAAAUUGAUUUCAGAUGGUAACGAUGAAGGUUUCUGCGUUUCUUGUUUUCCUUCAAUAGUUACCGUGGGUGAUGGUUUUCUUAUGAUAUCGUUUGUCGAUGAAGAAAAGUGAUUUCAGAAGGAAUCGGUAAUUCUUUUUUGCUUCUUGCUUAUCCAUACUAAUGCUAUGGAGAAAGAGACGGUUUCAUAGUUGUUGGGAUUUAUAUUAUGCUGCUGGGUUGCGUCUUUUGAUGGUUCGUUUCAGAAUCUUGCAUUUUUGAAAGGAUGUGAUCUUCGUCGUGUUGGUUUUUUCUUGAUGCAGCGUCCAUCAUCUUCAUUGCCAAAUCUGGAUUUGUCUCCAAAUUAUGUUGUCCGUUGGCUGAAAUGGAAUUUUCUUUUUCAUUAAAGAUUGGGAGUUUCUUUCAAUACUUGUCGUCGUUGGUGAUGGAUUUCUUAUCAUGUUGUUGUCGAUGAAGAAAAAUUGAUUUCUGAUGGUAAAGGUUGAGUUUUUCUCGGAGAAAUUCGGAAUAUUUUCUUUUCUAAGUUGUGUUUGUCGCUAGGAUUUUUGUAAGGAGGGACGAUAAUGUACUGAAUCUGUUUUUGUCUCUAGAGUGUAGUAGGUAUUUCCUUCGUAUACUUUUUGUGAAUUUGGACUGUGCCUAUUCUUAGUAAUUAAAUCUCUUAUUAUAAAAGAAAAAUGGCUAUCCUUUUUGUUUUUAUAUUGUUUUUCAGUUCUGCUACUUACGAAUCCGACUUGAUGCUAUGGAGAAGGAGUGACGGUUUCAUAUGAUACUUUUGGAUUACGUUUGUUGAUGAUUGGUCUGAAAUUCUUGCAUUUCUUAUUGGAUAUGAUCUCUUCUUCUUAUACAAGUGUGUUAAUUUCAGCAAAUACGAAUACAAGUGUAGGUUUGGAUUUCCUUUCGAAGUUAACAUCUUUCAUGGACCAUUCUUGAUCUUGGGUAAUAAUGUUUAAUUGGUGCGUGUGAUGGUAAGCUGUUCAUAUCUCCUGAUUUGAGCUCUUAAAAGAAAGCUAUAUAAUUCUUAUAAUUUUUUUAAAUUUUUACAUAAAAUAUAAUAAAUAAUUUUUUUUUUUAAAAUUUUAAAAUAAAAAUAAUGUUAAAAAAUUAUAUUUUAACAAUAUUUUAUUCAAUUUUGAUCUCAUCUUAUUUAAUUUUGAUCUCAUCUUAUUGGUAACUAAAUGAGGCCUAAAACUUUAAAGAGAAUUGAGUUAAAAGAAGGAGAAAUUUUCUGCCUGUGCACUUGCAUUUCUUGUUGGUUUGCCUCGAAAUUUGAGGCCGGUUUUAAAAGGCUCUUUUGUUGAGGGCUUAACAAGGGGUCAUGCAAUGGGUUUGAACCAAGGCUACAUGAUUUUAUCUUUUAUGUUCUCUUCUGCUUCUCAAUUUCCUGCGUGCUUUUUAUUUAUUCAUCAAAAAAAAUUUCCUGCGUGCUUUUGAGUAGUCUUUCUUUUCAUUUCUUUAUCUACACUGUUGUCACGUGGAUUGAAUGAAUAAUUCCAAGGGGUCAUGCAAUGCCACGAAAUGGGUUUGAGCUAUGCCUACGUGAUUUUGUUCAUUAUGUUCUCUUCUGCUUUGCAAUUUCCCACAUGCUUUUCAUUUGCUUAUAUACGUUGUCUCUCUUGUUAGGCUGCAUUUUUGUGAUUUAAAUAAAUAAUUCCGAGGGAUCAAGCAAUGCCAUGAAAUGGGUUUGAGCUAAGCCUACGUGAUCUUGUUCUUUAUGUUUUCUUAUGCUUCUCAAAUUCCCACAUGCUUUUCGUUUGCUUAUAUACUUUUUUUGUAUUGACAGGCUGCAUCUUCGUGGCUAAAUAAAUAAUUCAAGGGCUGCACUUCUAAGAACACCAACACAUUUUUUACUCUGAAAAUAAAUAAUUCAAGGGCUGCACUUCUAAGAACACCAACACAUUUUUUACUCUGAAAAAAAUUUUCUCUUCUGCUUCUCAGUUUCCUUCAUGCUCAUCAUUUGUUUAUCUACAUUGUGUGUAUUGUCAGGCUGCAUCUGCGCGGCCUAAAUAAGUAAUCCCAAGGGGUCAGGCAAUGCCAUGAAAAGGGUUUGAGAUAAGCCUACGUGAUUUUGUUCUUUUUUGUUCUCUUCUGCUUCUCAACUUCCCACACGCUUUUCAUGUGUUUAUUUACAUUGUGUAUUGUCAGGCUGCAUCUGGGUGGCCUAAAUGAAUAAUUUCAAGGGGUCAUGCAGUGCUAUGAAAUGGGUUUUGAGCUAAGGCAUUCUUUAUGUUCUCUUCUGGUUAUCAAUUUCCCACAUGGUUUUCAUUUGCCUAUCUACUUUGUGUGUAUUUUCAAGCUGCAUUUGUGUUGUUUGAAUAAAUAAUUCCAAAGUGUCAGGCAAUGCCAUGAAAUGGGUUUGAGCUAAGGCUUUGUGAUUUUGUUUAUGUUCUCUUCUGCUACUCGAUAUCCCACUUUCUUUUCAUUUGUUUAUCUACAUUGUGUGUAUUGUCAGGCUGCAUCUGGGUGGUCUAAAUGAAUAAUUUCAAGUGGUCAUGCAAUGCCAUGAAAAGGGUUUGAGCUAAAGCUACGCGAUCUUGUUCUUUGUGUUCUCUUCUGCUUCUCAAUUUCCCACCUGCUUUUCGUUUGCUUAUAUAUUUUUUGUGUUCAUGCUCUCUUAUGAUUCUCAAUUUCCCACAUGCUUUUCAUAUGCAUAUAUACUAUGUGUGUUUUGUCAGGCUGCAUCUGCAUGGCCUAGAUAAAUAAUUUCAAGGGAGCAAAGCCAUGAAAUUGGUUUGAGCUAAGACUACGUGAUUUUGUUCUUUGUUUUCUCUUCUGCUUCUCGCCCAACUAAAGUGAGGGCGGGCACAGAAUGUUGGGACAACGUGGCAUUUAAAUAUUUCAAUCUUCCCGGCCAAUAUUCCAAGCCGAGACUGGGUCAGAUCUGGCUCUUAAGUCAGGUCUCGCUUCAGAGAGAACGCCAACGUGCGUCUCACGGUGCAAAGAAAUCUUUCCGUUCUCGACGGUGGAAGAAGGUCAAGGGGCAGGAUUGCACUUAUAAGAACCCCAACACAUUUUUUACCGAUCAAAAAAAAUUUCUCUCUUCUUCUCAAUUUCCCACAUGCUCUUCAUUUGUUCAUUUACAUUGUGUGUAUUGUUGUCAGGCUGCAUCUGCAUGGCCUACAUAAAUAAUCCCAGGGGGUCAGGCAAUGCCAAGAAAAAAGGGUUUGAGCUAAGCCUACGUGAUUUUGUUCGUUUUUUUUCUUUUCCACUUCUCAAUUUCCCACAAGCUUUUCAUGUGUUUAUCUACAUUGUGUGUAUUGUCAGGCUGCAUCUGGGUGGCCUAAAUUAAAUAAUUUCAAGGGGUCAUGCAAUGCCAUGAAAUGGGUUUGGGCUUUAAGGUGUUCUUUAUGUUCUCUUCUGCUUCUCAAUUUCCCACAUGGUUUUCAUUUGCCUUUGUACUUUGUGUAUUGUCAGGCUGCAUUUGCUUGGUUUGAAUAAAUAAUUCUAAGGGGUCAGGCAAUGCCAUGAAAUGGGUUUGAGCUAAGGCUUUGAGAUUUUGUUUAUCUUCUCUUCUGCUUCUCAAUAUCCCCCUUGCUUUUCUUUUGUUUAUCUACAUUGUGUGUAUUGUCAGGCUGCAUCUGGGUGGCAUGAAUGAAUAAUUUGAAGGGGUCAUGCGAUGCCAUGAAAUGGGUUUGACCUAAGGCUACGCGAUCUUGUUCUUUAUGUUCUCUUCUGCUUCUCGAUUUCCCAGAUGGUUUUCAAUUCCAAAGGGUCAGGCAAUGCCAUGAAAUGGGUUUGAGCUUAGGCUUUGUGAUUUUGUUUAUGAUGUUCUCUUCUGCUUCUCAAUAUGCCCCUUGCUUUUGAUUUGUUUAUCUACAUUGUGUGUAUAGUCAGGCUGCAUCUGGGUGGCAUGAAAUGGGUUUGAGCUAAGGCUAUGCGAUCUUGUUCUUUAUGUUCUCUUCUGCUUCUCAAUUUCUCACAUGCUUUUCGUUUGGUUAUAUACAUUUUGUGUAUUGACAGGCUUUAUCUGCGUGGCUAUGUGAUUUUGUUUCUUGUCUUCUCUGCUGCUUCCCAAUUUCCCACAUGUUUUCAUUUGUUUAUCUACCUUGUGUGUUUUGUCAGGUUGCAUCUGUGUGGCCUAAAUAAAUAAUUUCAAUGGGUCAUGAAUGCUAUGAAAUUGGUUUGAGCUAAGGCUUUGUGAUUUUGUCUAUGUUUCUUCUGCUUCUCAAUAUCCCCAUUGCUUUUCAUUUAUCUAUCUACAUUGUGUGUGUUGUCAGGCUGCAUCUGGGUGGCCUGAAUGAAUGAUUUCAAGGGGUCAUGCAGUGCCAUGAAGAGGGUUUGAGCUAAGGCUAAGCGAUCUUGUUCUUUAUGUUCUUUUCUGCUUCUCAAUUUCCCAAAUGCUUUUCGUUUGCUUAUAUAUUUUUUGUAUUGAUAGGCUGCAUCUGCGUGGCUAUGUGAUUUUGUUCCUUGUGUUCUCUGCUGCUCCCAAUUUCCCUCAUGCCUUUCAUUCGUUUAUCUACACUGUAUAUUGACAGGCUGCAUCUGCGUGGCCUAAAUAAAUAAUUUCGAGGGAUCAAGAAAUGCCAGGAAAUGGGUUUUAAAUAAGCCAUUCUUUAUGUUCCGAUCUGCUUCUCAAUUUCCCACAUACUUUUCAUUUGUUUAUCUACAUUGUGUGUAAGGUUGCAUCUGUGUGGCCUAGAUAAAUAAUUUCAUGGGGUCAUGAAUGCCAUGAAAUUGGUUUGAGCUAAGGCGUUCUUUAUUUAUGUUCUCCUCUGCCUCUCAAUUUCCCACAAUUAGCUUAUCAUGUAUUGUCAGGCUGCAAUUUCGUGGUUUAAAUUAAUAAUUCCAAGGGGUCAGGUGAUGAAAUGAAAUGGGUUUGAGCUAAGGCUACAUGUUUUGUUUUUUUAUGUUCUCUUAAGAUUCUCAAUUUCCCACAUGCUUUUCAUAUGCAUAUUUACAUUGUGUGUAUUGUCAGGCUGCAUCUGCAUGGCCUAGAUAAAUAAUUCCAAGGGGUCAGGCAAUGUCGUGAAAUUGGUUUGAGCUAAGGCUAUGUGAUUUUGUUCUUCAUUUUCUCCUCUACUUCUCGCCCAACUAAAGCGAGGGUGAGCACAGAAUGUUGGGGUAACGCAGCACUUAAAUAUUUCAAUCUUUCUGGCCAAUAUUCCAAGCCGAGACUGAGUCAGGUCUCGCUUCAGAGAGAACGUCAGUGUGCGUCUCACGGUGCAAAGCAAUCUUUCCGUUCUCGACGGUGGAAGUAGGUCAAUGGGCAGGGUUGCACUUCUAAGAACCCCAACACUUUUUAUUUUACCGAUUAAAAAAAAAAAAAAAUUUCUUCUGCUUCCCAAUUUCCCACAUGCUCUUCAUUUGUUUAUCUACAGGCUGCAUCUGCAUGGCCUAAAUAAAUAAUCCCAGGGGGGUUCAGGCAAUGCCAUGAAAAAAGGGUUUGAGCUAAGCCUACGUGAUUUUUUUUUUUUUUUCCUUUUCCACUUCUCAAUUUCCCACACGCUUUUCAUGUGUUUAUAUCUACUUUGUGUGUAUUGUCAGGUGACAUUAGGGUGGCCUAAAUGAAUAAUUUCAAGGGAUCAUGCAGUGCCAUGAAAUGGGUUUGAGCUAAGGCGUUCUUUAUGUUCUCUUUUGCUUCUCAAUUUCCCACAUGGUUUUCAUUUGCCAAUCUACUUUGUGUGUAUUGUCAGGCUGCAUUUGCGUGGUUUGAAUAAAUAAUUCCAAAGGGUCCGGCAAUGCCAUGAAAUGGGUUUGAGCUAAGGCUUUGUGAUUUUGUCCAUGUUCUCUUCUGCUUCUCAAUAUCCCCAUUGCUUUUCAUUUAUCUAUCUACAUUGUGUGCGUUGUUAGGAUGCAUCUGGGUGGCCUGAAUGAAUAAUUUUAAGGGGUCAUGCAGUGCCAUGAAAUGGGUUUGAGCUAAGCCUACGUGAUCUUAUUCUUUAUGUUCUCUUCUGCUUCUCAAUUUCCCACAUGCGUUUUGUUUGCUUAUAUACUUUUUGUGUAUUGACAGGCUUUAUCGGCGUGGCUAUGUGAUUUUGUUCCUUGUGUUCUCUGCUCUGCUUCCCAAUUUCCUUCAUGCUUUUCAUUUGUUUAUCUACACUAUAUUAUCAGGCUUCAUUUGCCUAAAUAAAUAAUUCCAAGGGAAAAAGAAAUGCCUGGAAAUGUUAAGCCAUUCUUUAUGUUCUCAUCUGCUCAAUUUCCGAUAAAAAAAAAAAAAAAAAAAUUCUAUUCUGCUUUCUCGAUUUUUAUGCUCUUCAUUUGUUUAUCUACAUUGUGUAUUGUCGGGAUGUGUCAGCAUGGCCUAAAUAAAUAAUCCCAAGGGGACAGGCAAUUCCAUGAAAAGGGUUUAGCUAGGUCUUAUUUUGUUCUUUUUUUGUUCUCUUCCGCAUCUCAAUUUCGCACACUUUUCGUGUGUUUAUCUACAUUGUGUGUAUUGUCAGGCUGCAACUGGGUGUCCUAAUGAAUAAUUUCAAGGGAUCAUGCAGUGCCAUGAAAUGGGUUUGAGCUAAGGCGUUCUAUAUGUUCUCUUCUGCUUCUCAAUUUCCCGCAUGGUUUUUAUUUGCCUACCUACUUUGUGUGGCCUGAAUGCUUAUAUACUUAUUGUGAAUUGACAGGGUGCAUCUGCAUGGCUACGUCAUUUUGUUUCUUGUGUUCUCUGCUGCUUCCCAAUUUCCCACAUGCUUCAUACUUGUUUAUUUACACUGUAUAUUGUCAAGAUGCAUCUGCAUGGCCUAAAUUAAUGAUUCCAAGGGAUCGGGAAAUGCCAGGAAAUGGGUUUUUGCUUAGGCUAUCUUUAUGUUCUGAUCUGCUUCGCAAUUUCCCACAUGAUUUUCAUUUGCUUAUCUACUUUGUGUGUAUUGUCAGGCUGCAUUUGCGUUGUUUGAAUAAAUCAUUCCAAAGGGUCAGGGAAUGCCAUGAAAUGGGUAUCAGCUAAGGCUUUGUGAUUUUGUUUGUGUUCUUUUCUGCUUCUCAAUAUCCCCCUUGCUUUUCAUUGGUUUAUCUACAUUGUGUGUAUUGUCAGGCUGCAUCUGGGUGGCCUGAAUGAAUACUUUUAGGGGUCAUGCAAUGCCAUGAAAUGGGUUUGACCUAAGGCUACGCUAUCUUCUUCUUUAUGUUCUCUUCUGCUUCUCAAUAUCCCCCUUGCUUUUCAUUUGUUUAUCUACACUGCGUAUAUUGUCAGGCUGCAUCUGGGUGGCCUGAAUGAAUAAUUUCAGGGGGUCAUGCAUUGUCAUGAAUUGGGUUUGAGCUAAGACGUUAAUUAUGUUCUCUUCUGCUUCUCAAUUUCCCACAUGGUUUUCAUUUGCCCAUCUACUUUGUGCGUAUUGUCAGGCCGCAUUUGCGUGGUUUGAAUAAAAAAUUCCAGAGGGUCAGGCGAUGCCACGAAAUGGGUUUGAGCUAAGGCUUUGUGAUUUUGUUUAUGUUUUCUUCUGCUUCUCAAUAUCCCCCUUGCUUAUCUUUUGUUUAUCCACAUUGUGUGUAUUGUCAGGCUGCAUGUGGGUGGCCUCAAUGUGAAUAAUUUGAAGGGGUCAUGCAAUGCCAUGAAAUGGGUUUGACUUAUGGCUAAGCUAUCUUGUUGUUUAUGUUCUCUUCUGCUUCUCAAUUUCCCCACAUGUUUUCAUUUGCCCAUCUACUUUGUGUGUAUUGUCAGGCUGCAUUUGAGUGGUUUGAAUAAAAAAUUCCAGAGGGUUGGGCAAUGCCACGAAAUGUUUUUGAGCCAAGGCUUUGUGAUUUUGUUAAGUUCUCUUCUGCUUCUCAAUAUCCACUUGUUUAUCUACGUUGUGUGUAUUGUCCGGCUGCAUCUGGGUGGCCUGAAUGAAUAAUUUCCAGGGGUCAUGCAGUGCCUUGAAAUGGGUUUGAACUAAGGCUACGGGAGCUUGUUCUUUAUGUUCUCUUCUGCUUCUCAAUUUCCCCACAUGGUUUUCAUUUGCCUAUCUACUCUGUGUAUUGUCAGUCUGUAUUUGCGUGGUUUGAAUAAAUAAUUCCAAAGGGUCAGGCAAAGCUAUGAAAUGGGUUCGAGCAAUGUGAUUUUGUUUAUGUUCUCUGCUGCUUCUCAAUAUCCCCCUUGCUUUUCAUUUGUUUAUCCACAUUGUGUGUAUUGUCAGGCUGCAUCUGGGUGGCCUAAAUGAAUAAUUUGAAGGGGUCAUGCAAUACCAUGAAAUGGGUUUGACCUAAGGCUAAGCGAUCUUGUUCUUUAUGUUCUCUUCUGCUUCUCAAUUUUCCACAUGGUUUUCAUUUGCCUAUCUACUUUGUGUGUAUUGUCAGGCUGCAUUUGCGUGGUUUGAAUAAAUAAUUCCAGAGGGUCUGGCAAUGCCACGAAAUGGGUUUGAGCUAAGGCUUUGUGAUUUUGUUUAUGUUCUCUUCUGCUUCUCAAUAGCUCCCUUGCUUUUCUUAUGUUUAUCCACAUUGUGUGUAUUCUCAGGCUGCAUCUGGGUGGCCUGAAUGAAUAAUUUCAAGGGGUCAUGCAAUGCCAUGGAUUGUGUUUUUUGACCUAUGGCUAAGUGAUCUUGUUCUUUAUGUUAUCUUCUGCUUCUCAAUUUCCCCACAUGGUUUUCAUUUGCCCAUCUACUUUUUCUGUAUUGUCAGGCUGCAUUUGAGUGGUUUGAAAAAAAAAUUCCAGAGGGUCUGGCAAUGCCACGAAAUGGUUUUGAGCUAUGGCUUUGUGAUUUUGUUUUUGUUCUCUUCUGCUUUUCAAUAUCCCCUUUACUUUUCAUUUGUUUAUCUACAUUGUGUGUAUUGUCAGGCUUCAUCUGAGUGGCCUGGAUGAAUAAUUUGAAGGGGUCAUGCAGUGCCAUGAAAUGGGUUUGAGCUAAGGAUACGUGAUCUUGUUCUUUUUGUUCUCAUCUGCUUCUCAAUUUCCCACAUGCAUUUCGUUUGCUUAUUACUUUUUGUACAUUGACAGGCUGCAUCUCCAUGGCUACGUGAUUUUGUUCCUUGUGUUCUCUGCUGCUUCCCAAUAUCUUUCAUGCUUGUCAUUUGUUUAUCUACACUGUAUAUUGUCAGGCUGCGUUUGUGUGGCCUAAAUAAAUAAUUCCAAGGGAUAAAGAAAAGCCUGGGAAUGGGUUUUAACUAAGCCAUUCUUUAUGUUCUUAUCUGCGUCUGAAUUUCCCACAUGAUUUCAUUUGUUUAUCUACAUUGUGUGUAUUGUCAGGCUGCAUCUUUGUGGCCUGAAUGAAUAAUUUCAAGGGGUUGUGCAAUGCCAUGAAAUGGGUUUGAGCUAAGGCUACGCGAUCUUGUUCUUUAUGUUCUAUUCUGCUUCUCAAUUUCCCACAUGCUUUUCGUUUGCUUAUAUACUUUGUAUAUUGACAGGCUGCAUCUGCGUGUCUACGUGAUUUUGUUGCCUGUGUUCUCUGCUGCUUCCCAAUUUCCCACAUGCUUUUGAUUUGUUUAUCUACAUUGCUUGUAUUGUUGGGCUGCAUCUGCUCGGCCUAAAUUAAAAUUUCAAGGGGUGAUCCUAUUCAGCUUCUCAAUUUCCCACAUGCUUUUCAUUCGCUUGUCCGCUUUGUGUGUAUUGUCAUGCUGCAUUUGUGUGGUUGAUAUAAUUACUUCUCAAGGGGUUAGGCAAUGCCAUGAAAUGGGUUUGAUCUAAGGCUUCGUAGUUUUGAUCUUUAUGUUCUCUUCUGCUUCUUAAUUUUGCACAUGCUUUCCUUUUGUUUAUCUACAUUGUGUGAAUUUUCAAUCUGCAUCUGCUUGGCCUAAAUAAAUAAUUUCAAGGUGUCAUGCAAAUGCCAUGAAAUGGGUUUGAGCUAUGGCUACGCUAUUUUGUUCUUUAUGUUCUCUUCUGCUUAUCAAUUUCCCAAAUGCCACAGCGCGUAGCUUGUAAUUGUGUUCAUCUGUUGUAUAUUUUAUGUGUACCUGGGCCAUGUCUAGUUUGUGGAUAAAAAAAAUUCCCACAUGCUUUUCUGUUGUUUAUCUACACUGUAUAUUGUCAGGCUGCAUCUGUGUGGCCAAAAUAAAUCAUUUUAAUCCAAUGUCAUGCAAUGGGUUUGAGCUAAGGCGUUCUUUUUGUUCUCUUUUGCUUUACAACUGCCCACAUGCUCUUCAUUUGUUUAUCUAGUCUUUAUAUUGUCUGGCUGCAUCUGCGUGGCCUAAAUAAUUAAUUCCAAGGGAUCAGGAAAUGCCAGGGGGUGGGUUUUAACUAGGGCGUUCUAUAUGUUCUCAUCUGCUUCUCAAUUUCCCACAUGCUUUUCAUUUGUUUUUACCAGAAUCCACUUGCCCUUUAUAUAUUCUUUAUUUUUGUUUGGCUGUUAUCUAAGACAUUUGCAUGCUUUUUAAGUGUGGUUGCACUUCAUGUUUUUACCAGAAUCCACUUGCACGUUUGCCAUACUUGUUAGACCUUAAGAUGAUAAGCUGUGUCAUUUACAGCCUCAUUGGACUUUGGGAUUUUUUUGUUGUUUGGUAAGGUAUGUAACAGAUUUGGAUAUGAUUGUGAUUGCGCUCUGAGUGGGAGGAAAGUCAGAAUUGAUUUGAAUUGUUGGAUUGUGUGGGGAUAUAGCUAUGGUAGUUAAUGCUCUAUGACGGAUUUCUUGUACUGGGUUACAAAUAUGGAGCAUUGCCUUAUUUUUAAUUGAUGGUUGGCAUGUAACCAAUUUGUCACAAUUUCUUUUCCUUUACGGCUGGCUUGGUAACUACGAUCACAAAUACAAGUUUCUAAUGGAUAUUGAGGAUUUAUUGUAUAGAAAGAAUAUAUUGCAAUCUUAUGGAGGAUUCAUUCCCUAUCCAGAUCACGAAGUUUUCUUCUACAGGAUUACUUUAUGGUGUUAUAAAUGGUGACGUGAUAAUGUUUGGAAUGCUACUUCACAAUUUCCGUAUCACUAGUUAACAAGAGUUCUAUAAAUAUAAAAGUAAUGUUAGAUAUGGUGAUGGUGCUCGAUGGUCCUUUUGAAAGUAAUGAUUUAUUUAUUUAUUAAUGUUUUUAUGUCAGAUGUACCUCAGUUCUUGCAGCUAUGAGUGGUCUGUCUCAAUACAAUGAUCGAUAAUUGCCAUUUUGUUCUCAGAACCUUCAUACAUGAGCACAUUUACAAAAUUCUUCUUUCAUAACUAAUCAUUCGGUAAAUGCUUCGAAGGGACGAUCGUUUUCUACGAAUCCCUUCGAGUAAAAGAUAGGAUUGACAAAAUGUCCUGUAGUAAAAGGAGACCAUACCCAUUGGGGGGUGAAGGGAGGCAAGUGGUUGCAAGUGGUUGUAAAAAUUCCAACAACCCCUUACGGUUAUACUGACUUGGCAUCAGCGCACACUAUUACUCUAUAGAAAUAUUUUGGAUAUAGUAUCAAAGAGCUAGGCAACGGUUUCAAGAAAAAUUACUCUAGCAAUGGAAAUUCCCAUUCGUGGAUUUUUCGUUUGAUAAACUGACAACUUCUAACUUCUAUAGAAAAAAAUCUGGCUGCCUAUUUUGAUAUAGGGGUGAUACAUCUGAUUUGUCAUGCAACAGGGAUAAUUGGAAAUUCCCAAUCUGAAACAGAUGGCGGCGACGAUAAUAAUAGUAAUGGCCACUACGCUGAUCUAUUUGUACAAAUAAUUCUCUCUGAAGAUCCUUUAUUAUUUCAUACGUGUUGGCGAUAUGAUGCGGCUUUGUUUUCAACCCACCGGCAAAGUUGGCUGUCCAUGGUAUUCUUCUAUGGGAGUAUUCUUCUAUGGGAACACAGAUAAAUAUUACUAUCAUUUCCUUUGUGGUUGGUUGCUGCCAGGUUACCAGCAUUUUAGCGUGGUGGUUCGCUGUGGAGAACUUUUGGUUUUCUUCUUCAGCAGCAGUACAAAUGCAUACACGCUCUUUUAGCUUGGAUGUCUUAGUGACCUUGAGAAGAACAUAGAAGCUUGGAUAUUUAUCAAAAAAAAGAACAUAGAAGCUUGGAUGUCAUAGAUUUUGUUGGUGGAGUACUGCCAUUUUCCACGGUGGGUUCUAUCGAAGUUUUUGGAAUUCUUUUUUCAGAACAGAGAUAAAUAUUACUAUCCACCGGCAAAGUUGGCUGUCCAUGGUAUUCUUCUAUGGGAACACAGAUAAAUAUUACUAUCAUUUCCUUUGUGGUUGGUUGCUGCCCUCUGGUAGGUUGGCUUCGUGACCAUGAGUGCAUAUAUGUUUUUCUCACGCUCUUGUUCCAUAUUGUGAUUUUUUCCGUAGAUUUUGCAGGCAUUGCUACAGCAUUUUAGCGUGGUGGGUCCGUUGUGGAGAACUUUUGGUUUUCUUCAACAGCAGCAGUACAAAAAAUGCAUGCACGCUCUUUUAGCUUGGAUGUCUUAGUGACCUUGAGAACAUAGUGGAUGUCAUAGAUUUUGUUGGUGGAGUACUGCCAUUUUCCACGGUGGGUUCUAUCGAAGGCGAUUCGAGAAGGAUUCCGUUCUUUUUUCAGAACAGAGAUAUGUAUCACUGCCAUUUCCUUUACAUAUUGCAAUCAUGGUAACCUUGAAUAUAGCCUCUUGAAUUUAAAUUAAUAGUAUUUGAAAGCGGCGGCCGCAUCCACACAGUAUAUUUUUGCAGCGGCAAUCAGCAUGUUGGUCCCGGUUUAUGUUUCUAUCUUUUUAUCACGGUGGAAUCCAGAGAAGUUGGCUUCUUCAGACCAGUUUGGUUUUUAUAGGAGCACAUUUUUAUCAUUGUCCUUUCUUUUAUGCUUGGCUAGCAUGGAAAGCAUGAAUCUUUGGAGAAGUAUUCGAAAAUUGUCGGAUGUGCGUGGACUACUUUUUGCAAAGCUUAUCAGCUCAUGUCCUGGCUCAUGUCUCUACCAGCAUCUACUUGCAUGUGCACAACUCGUUAUGCCUUAAGAUGAUUGGUUUUGCCAUUCAGUAUUUUGACCUUUUAUGCAGGUUGGAGGUUUAUGCAAGAUUUUGAUUUAUUGGGGUUUGGUUGUUGUCCAAGAGCUGGUGGCUUUGGAAGCGGUUUCACACUCAAUGUUGGGUUGGUAUAUGCUUGGAAUUCUUUCCUCAUGCAUUCUAUAUGGAAGAUUUUGUAAUUUGCUGUAGCCAAGUUCCUGUGUUAAUGGUUUAUGAAGAAUGGACUUCUGUCACUUCUGUUAGAAAAUUUUGAUUAAGCCUUUGUUUAAAUGCCAGCGAGAGAGUGUGAUUUGUUAGAAGUGUUUUUCUUUUUCUUUUUCUUUUUUUUUUUUUUUUUUUUUUUUUUUUUUUUAAAUUUUCGACGUAAGUUUUUGAGGUCUUUGAUCAUUCUGUCCACAUGCUUGGCCGGCUUAGUUGAGCGAAAAUAAUUUUUUUCGCUCUUGCACAAUCCUAUGAUUUAUUUCAUAGAUUUUGGCACUGUCGUAAAGCUGGUUUUCACGCUAGGUUCCAUUUCCUUUGUGGUUGGUUGCUGGAAGCUUACCAGUGCGUAACAUGAUCUUUUCCUCUAUCGUAGGUUGGCUUCAUGACCAUGGGUGCAGAAAUGUUUUUCUCUCAGCACAGCUCCUGUUCCAUACGUGUUUUUUUCCGUAGAUUUUUAUGGCAUUGCUACUUAAUUUUAGCUUGGUGGGUUAGCUUGUGCAGAUCUAUUGGUUUUCAUCUAUAGGAGUACAAAUGUGUACGUGCUAGUUUAGCUUAAAUGUCUUGGUGACCUUAAGCAUAUAUAUGUUUAUCUAAAACACGAUACUAUCUUUUAUUUGGGUCAUAUAUUUUGUUGGUGGAUUACUGACAUUUUCCAUGGUGGGUUCUAGAAAAGUUGGUGUCCCGGGAAGGAUUUAGAAUUCUUCUAUCGGAACCGAUAUAUGUUACAUGUAUUACUAUCAAUUCUUUUACGUAUUGGAAUCAUGGUGAUCUUGAAUAUAGCUAGCCUCUUGAAUUUAAAUUAAUAGGCUCGACUUGAGCCUCACUAAAUAAUUCCGUUGACCUGCAAAUUCCAAACUGGGACUGCGUCAGAUUUGGCUCUUGAGUCAGGUCUCACUUCAGAGAGGAGGUCAACGCAUGAGACUGGUCUCACGGAGCAAAGAAAGCUGCCUGUUCUCAACAGUGGAAGGAUAUACAGUUGCAUGUCUAAGAACCCAACACAUUUUGUAAAUGCUUACAAAAGAAACUAAAUUGAUAAAUUUUGUGAGAGGGUGGUCGCAUCACGUGGUAUUUUUUUGCAGCAGCAAUCAGCAUGUUGAUCCUGUUCUUGUUUCUAGAUUUUCAUCACGGUGGAUUCCAGCGUAAUUGGCUUCUCCAUACUAAUUGGGUAUCCUUUUGUAGAAGCAAAAAUUUUUAUCAUUGACAUUUCUUUUAUGGUCGGCUAGCUUGGAAAGCAUGAAUCUUUGGAAAAGUAUUCGAAAAUUGGAAGCCGCGUGCGGACUACUUUUUGCAAAGCUUAUCUGCUCAUUUGGUAGAUAUGAUUUUUUGAUGAUUAUAAAUUAUGAAGUUGAGGUCUUUGGUCAUGCAGUGCUGUUGACCUCGUAACCUUCUUGGGCAACUAAUUUAUCAGAGUUUCUGACCUGGUUCAUGUUGAUACUGGUUCAUGCUUCUAGGUUUUUAGUCCAGUGAAGUUGGCCUCUCCAUACCAAUUUGGUAUUCUAUAGAAGCAGAAAUUUUUAUCACUGUCCUUUCUUUUUUGGUUGGCUAGCGUGGAAAGCAUGAAGCUUUGGAAAAGUAUUCGAAAAUUGGCGGCUGUGUGUGGACUAGUUUUUGCCAAGCUUAUCAGCUCAUUUGCCCUGGUUCAUGCUUCUAUUACCAUCUACUUGAAUGUACACAACUCGUUAUGCCUUAAGAUGAUUGGUUUUGCCAUUCAGUAUUUUUUGAAAUUUUUUGCAGGAUGGAGCUUUAUGCAAGAUUUUGAUUUAUUGUGGUUUGGUUGUUGUCCAAGUGUUGGUGGCUUUGGAAGCAGUUUCACACUGAAUGUUAGGUUCGUAUAUGCCUGGGGUUGUUUCCUCAUGCAUUCUAUAUUGAAGACUUUGGACAUUGCUGUAGCCAAGUUACGGUCUUAAUGAUUUACAAAGAAUGAACUUCUCUCAUGUCUAGUAGAAAAUUUUGAUUAAGCCUUUGUUUAACUGCAGCAAGAAAGUGUGAUUUUCUUCGUUGGGAAGUCUUUCUACUUGUUUGAACAACUAUUUCUCUACUUGUCCAAUUGGUCUUGAGUGUCAUUUUUAGGCAUAUGAUUUUUUGAAGAUUAUAAACUACGACGUGAUAUUUUUAGCUUUUUGGCCGUUCUGUGUUGGUGACCUCAUAACCUUCUUGGACGACUAAUUUAUCAGAGUUUCUGACCUGAUUAUGGUCACAAAGGAAAAUCAUCUUUGGGCAGGAAGAAAGCAGGUUUUGUAGCUAUGCUUAUGUAGCUGAGAUGCGUAUAUUUUCCCAAGCUUUCCGUGGACUAACUUGUAUUGCUGGAUUUCAUAAUCUGUGUCAAAUAUCUGCUUACCUCCUUCCUGGCCAUUGAAGAAUUGCUUACUAGGUGCUUAAAACGUUUAAAAAUUUCAAUGGUUGGCUUUGUACUGAAGGCACCGAUGGUCCUCUGAGGGGUGGGGGGGCUACAGCAUUUUAGCAUAUUAGGUUGGCUUGUGCAGAUCUGUUUGGCGUUCUUCUAUAGGAGUUCAAGUAUGUACACACUUUUUUUAUGCUUUGUCUGCUUGGUUGAGCACAAAUAAUAUAUAUAUUUUUUUUUCUCUAGCACAAUGCUAUGAUUUAUUUCAUAAAUUUGGCAUUGUGGUACAGCUUGUUUUCACAUUGGGUUCCAGCAAAGUUGGCUGUCCAAGAAGGUUUUGGUACUAUUCUAUGGGAAUAUGGAUAUGUAUUACUAUCAUUUCAUUUUUGGUUGGUUGGUGGCAGGUUACCAGUGUGUAACACGAUCUGUUCCUCUAUGGUAGGUUGGCUUGGUGGCCAUGGGUGCAGAUAUGUUUUUCUCUCAAGACGGCUCCUGUUCCACACGUAAUUUUAUAUGUAAAUUUUUCUGGCAUUGCUAUAGAAUUUUAGCAGGGUGGGUUCGCUUGUCCAGAUCUAUUGGUCUUCAUCUAUUUGUAGGUGGAGUACUGUCAUUUUCCACGAUGGGCUCUAGUAUAGUUGGCAUCUCGAGAAGGAUUUGGAAUUCUUCUAUCAGAACAGAGAUAUGUAUUACUAUCAUUUCUAAACCUAUUCCAAUCAUGGUGACCUUGAAUAUAGCCUUUUGAAUUUAAAUUAGUUGGACCGACUUGAGCGAGGACUAAGAGUGUUAUGUUCACUGAAUAUUUUUGCUGACCUGCCAACUCCAAACAGAGACUGGUUUCACGGAGCAAAGAAAACUGCCUGUUCUCAUUUCUAGAUUUUCAUCACGGUGGAUUCCAACGGGGUUGACUUCUCCACACCAAUUUGGUAUUCUUUUAUAGAAGCAGAAAUUUUAAUCAUUGACCUUUCUUUUAUGGUUGGCUAGCUCAGAAAGCAUGAAUCUCUUGCGAAGUAUUCGAAAAUUGGCAGCUGCAUGCGGACCACUUUUUCAAAGCUUUUCUGCUUAUUUGUCCUGGCUCAUCUUUCUCUCGACUACAAUCCUAUGAUUUAUUUCUUAGGUUUUUGCUUUGUGGUAUAGCUUGUUUUCAUAUUGGGUUCCGGCAAGUUGACUAUCCAAGAAGGAUUUUGUAUUCUUCUCUGGUGACACAGAUAUGUAUUACUAUCAUUUCCUUUCUGGUUGGUUGCUAGCAGAUUACCAGUGUGUGACAUGAUCUUUUCCUCUAAGGUGGUUGGCUUCAUAACCAUGGGUGUAGCAGAUAUGUUUUUCUCUCAGGAUGGUAAUGGUUCCUUGUCCAUACGUGAUUUUUUCCGUAUAUUUUUCUGGCAUUGCUACAGAAUUUUAGCAUGGUGGGUUCGCUUGUGCAGAUCUUGUGGUUUUCAUCUAUAGGAGGACAAAUAUGUUUAUCUGCAGCGAGAGUGUGAUUUGCUGGAAAUUUCUUCUGUCUCGCUUUCCACUUGUUUGAACAAUUUGCAAAUUGGUCUAGAGGUGCCUUUUUAGGCAUAUGAUUUUUUGAGAAUUAUAAAUUACGAAGUGGUUUUUUGAGGUCUUUGGUCGUGCAGUCCUGGUGACCUCGUAACUUUCUUGGGCAACUAAUUUAUCAGAGUUUCUGACCUGGUUCAUGUUUCUAGGUUUUUAUCAUGGUGGAUUCUAGCAAGUUGGCUUCUCCAUACCAAUUUGGUAUUAUUUCAUCGGAGUAGAAAUUUUUAUCAUUGUCCUUUGUUUUCUGAUUGGCUAGCAUGGAAAGCAUGAAUCUUUGGAAAGGUAUUCGAAAAUUGGCGACUGUCUGUGGACUACUUUUUGCAGAGCUUAUCAGUCCUGGCUCAUGUUUCUACCAGCAUCUACUUGAAUGUUCACAACUCGUUAUGCGUUAAGAUGAUUGGUUUUGCCAUUCAGUAUUUUGACAUUUUUUGCAGGUUGGAGCUUUAUGCAAGAUUUUGAUUUGUUGUGGUUUGGUUGUCGUCCAAGUGUUGGUAGCUUUGGAAGUGGUCUCACACUGAAUGUUAUGUUCGUAUAUGCCUAGGAUUGUUUCUCAUGCAUUCUAUAUGGAAGACUUUGGAGAUUGCUGUAGCCAGGUUACUGUCUUUAUGAUUUACAAAGAAUGAACUUCUGUCAUGUCUAGUAGAAAAUUUUGAUUAAGCCUUUUUUAACUGCAGCGAGAGAGUAUGAUUUUCUGGAAUUUUUUCUUGUCUCCUUUUCAUGGGGAAGUAUUUCUACUUGUUUAAACAAUUAUUUCUCUACUUGUUCAAUUGGUCUUCAGGGUCAUUUUUAGGCAUAUGAUUUUUUGAAGAUUAUAAAAUACAACGUGAUAUUUUGAGCUCUUUGGUCGUUCUGUGUUGGUGAUCUCAUUACCUUCUUGGAAUCCUAAUUUAUCGAGUUUCUGAACUUAUUAUGGUCAUAAAGGAAAAUCAUCUUUGGGCAGGAAGAAAGCAGGUUUUGUAUCUAUGCUUAUGUAGCUAAGAUGCGUACAUUUUCCCAAGCUUUUCGUGGACUAACUUGUAUUGCUGGAUUUGUUUCAUAGUCUGUGUGUCAGAUAUUUACUUACCUCCUUCCUGGCCAUUGAAGAAUUGCUUACUAGGUGCUUAAAAAUUGCAAUGGUUGGGUUUGUACUGAAGGCAUCAAGGGCCGGCUACAGCAUUUUAGCAUAUUAGGUUGGCUAGUGCAGAUCUGUUUGGUGUUCUUCUAUAGGAGUAAUUGUGGUACAACUUGUUUUCACGUUGGGUUCCGGCUAAGUUGGCUGUACCAGAAGGUUUUGGUACUCUUCUAUGGGAAUAUGGAUAUGUAUUACUAUCAUUUCAUUUUUGGUUGGUUGGUGGCAGGUUACCAGUGUGUAACGUGAUCUGUUCCUCUUGGUAGGUUGGCUUGGUGGCCAUGGGUGCAGAUAUGUUUUUCUCUCAGGAUGGCUCCUGUUCCAUACGUAAUUUUAUAUGUAAAUUUUUCUGGCAUUGCUACGGAAUUUUAGCGGGGUGGGUUCGCUUGUCCAGAUCUAUUGGUUUUCAUCUAUAGGAGUAAAAAUACAUACACGCUCUUUCAGCUCAAAUGUCUUAGUGACCUUAACUAUAAGUUUAUCUGACAUGCGAUGCUGCGUUUGAUUUAUUUAAUAGAUUUGUAGGUGGCAUGAAUUCCUUAUAUCCAUUGAUCAAACCUAGAACUGGUCACUAAUCUUUGUAUCAGGCUUUUGCCUACGUUUUUGAUAAUAUAACUAUUUUACUUAUAAAAAAAAAAAAAAAAGAUCUGUAGGUGGAGGACUGCCAUUUUCUACUGUGUGCUCUAGUAUAGUUGGAGUCUCAAGAAGGAUUUGGAAUUCUUCUAUCGGAACAGAGAUAUGUAUUACUAUCAUUCCUAAACCUAUUCCAAUCAUGGUGACCUUGAAUAUAGCGUGCUGAAUUUAAAUUAAUAUGCCUGACUUGAGUGCGGAGAGUGUGGUGUUCACUAAAUAUUUUUGCUGACCCGCCAAUUCCAAACUGAGACUGCAUCAGAUUUGGCUCUCAAGUCAGGUCUCGCUUCAGAUAGGAGGUCAACGCGUGAGACUGGUUUCACAGAGCAAAGAAAACUGCAUGUUCUCAACAGUGAAAGGAUAUGGGCACAGCUGCAUGUCUAAGAACCCAACACAUUUUGUAAAUACUUACAAAAAAAAUUAAUUUGAUUGUAUUUGGGAGAAGGUGGCCACAUCCACGCGGUAUAUUUUUGCAGCAGCAAUCAGCGUGUUGAUCCUGGUUCUUGUUUCUAGUUUUUCAUCACAUUGGAUUCCAGUGUAGUUGGCUUCUCCAUACCGAUUUGGUAUUCUUUUAUAGAAGCAGAAAAAGUAUUCGAAAAUUGGCAGCUGCAUGCGUACUACUUUUUCAAAGCUUAUCUGCUCAUUUGUCCUGGCUCAUCUUUCUCUUGAGCACAAUCCUAUGAUUUAUUUUCUAGAUUUUUGCGGUGCCGUAUAGCUUGUUUUCACAUUGGGUUCUGGCAAAGUCGACUAUCCGAGAAGGAUUUCGUAUUCUUCUCUGGUGAGACAAAUAUGUAUUGCUAUCAUUUUCGUUCUGGUUGGUUGCUAGCAGGUUACCAGUGUGUGAUAUGAUCUUUUCCUCUAUGGUAGGUUGGCUUCGUAACAAUGGGUGCAGCAGAUAUGUUUUUCUCUCAAGAUGGUUCCUUGUCCAUACGUGAGUUUUUCUGUAGAUUUUUCUGGCAUUGCUACAGAAUUUUAGCGUGGUGGGUUCGCUUUUGCAGAUCUUGUGGUUUUCAUCUAUAGGAGGACAAAUAUAUUUAUUUGCAGCGAGAGAGUGUGAUUUGAAGGAAGUUUUGUCAAUCUCGCUUUCCUUAGGCAGUCUUUCUACUUGUUUGAACCAUUAUUUUUCUUCCUGUAAAUUGGUCCAGAGGUUCCUUUAUAGGCAUAUGAUUUUUAAGUGGUUUUUUGAGGUCUUUGGUCGUGCAGCGCCGGUGACCUCAUAACCUUCUUGGACAACUAAUUUAUCAGAGUUUCUGACCUGGUUCAUGCUGAUCCUGGUUCAUGUUUCUAGGUUUUUAUCACAGUGGAUUCCAGCAAAGUUGGCUUCUCCAUACCAAUUUGGUAUUCUUUCAUAGGAGCAGAAAUUUUUAUCAUUGUCCUUUAUUUUUUGGUUGGCCAGCAUGGAAAGCUUGAAUCUUUGGGAAAGUAUUCAGAAAUUGGUGGCUGUCUGUUGACUACUUUUUGCAGAGCUUAUCAGCUCAUUUGUCCUGGCUCCUGUUUCUACCAGCAUCUACUUGAAUGUGCACAACUCGUUAUGCAUUAAGAUGAUUGGUUUUUCCAUUCAGUAUUUUGACAUUUUUUGCAGGUUGGAGCUUUAUGCAAGAUUUUGAUUUAUUGUGAUUUGGUUGUUGUCCAAGUGGUGGUGGCUUUGGAAGUGGUCUCACACUGAAUGUUAGGUUCGUACAUGCCUGAGAUUGUUUCCUCAUGCAUUCUAUAUGGAAGACUUUCGACAUUGUUGUAGUCAAGUUACUAUCUUAAGGAUUUACAAAGAAUGAACUCCUGUCAUGUCUAGUAGAAAAUUUUGAUUAAGCCUUUGUUUAACUGUAGCGAUAGAGUAUGAUUUUCUGGAAAUUAUUUAUCAGCUUGUCCAAUUAGUCUUAAGGGUCAUUUUUAGGCAUAUGAAUUUUUGAAGAUUAUGAACUACGACAUGAUUUUUUGAGCUCUUUGGUCGUUCUGUGUUGGUGACCUCAUAACCUUCUUGGACAACUAAUUUAUAAGAGUUUCUGACCUGAUUAUGGUCAUAAAGGAAAAUCAUCUUUGGGCCGGAAGAAAGCAGGUUUCGUAUCUGUUCUUAUGUAGAUGAGAUGCGUAUAUUUUCCCAAGCUUUCCACGGACUAACUUGUAUUGCUGGAGUUCAUAAUUUGUGUGUCAGAUAUCUGCUUAUCCCCUUCCUGGCCAUUGAAGAAUUGCUUACUAGGUGCUUAAAACGUUUAAAAAUUUCAAUGGUUGGCUUUGUACUCAAGGCAUCGAGGGUCCUCUUGAGGGGUGGGGGGGCUACAGCAUUUUUGCAUAUUAAGUUGGCUUGUACAGAUCUGUUUGGUGUUCUUCUAUAGGAGUUCAUGUAUGUACACACAUUUUUUAUGCUUGGCCAACUUGUUUGAGCACAAAUAUUUUUUUUUUUCUCUAGCACAAUGCUAUGAUUUAUUUCUUAAAUUUGGCAGUGUGAUACAGCUUGUUUUCACGUUGGGUUCCAGCAAAGUUGGCUGUCCAAGAAGGUUUUGGUACUCUUCUAUGGGAAUAUGGAUAUGUAUUACUAUCAUUUCAUUUUUGGGUGGUUGGUGGCAGGUUACCAGUGUCUAACAUGAUCCAUUCCUCUAUGGUAGGUUGGCUUGGUGGCCUUGGGUGUAGAUAUGUUUUUCUCUUAGGACGGCUCCUGUUCCAUACGUAAUUUUAUACGUAAAUCUUUCUGGCAUUGCUACAGAAUUUUAGCGGGAUUUGUAGGUGGAGUAUUGCCAUUUUCCACGGUGGGCUCUAGUAUAGCUGGCAUCUUGAGAAGGAUUUGGAAUUCUUCAAUUGGAACAGAGAUAUGUAUUACUAUCAUUUCUAAACCUAUUCCAUAUAGCCUGUUGAAUUUAAAUUAAUUGGCCUGACUUGAGCGAGGACUAAAGAGUGUUAUGUUCACUGAAUAUUUCUUCUGACCUGCCAACUCCAAACUGAGACUGGAUUCACGGAGCAAAUAAAACUGCCUGUUCUCAACAGUGGAUGGAUAUGGGCAUAACUGCAUGUGUAAUGUCUUGAAGACCUGUUAUAAUGCAAUUUUCAGGGGAAGUAAUGUCUUGAAAACUUGUGCUGAUUAUACUCUUUUUCCUUCGCUAAGGUUUUAUCCCACUGGGUUUUCCUUUGCAAGGUUUUAA